CCCUACGGGACGCAGCAGUGAGGAAUAUUGGUCAAUGGUCGGGAGACUGAACCAGCCAAGCCGCGUGAGGGAUGAAGGUACAGAGUAUCGUAAACCUCUUUUGUCAGGGAACAAAGGCGGGGACGCGUCCCCGGAUGAGUGUACCUGAAGAAAAAGCAUCGGCUAACUCCGUGCCAGCAGCCGCGGUAAUACGGAGGAUUCAAGCGUUAUCCGGAUUUACUGGGUUUAAAGGGUGCGUAGGCGGGAUGCCAAGUCAGCGGUAAAAAAGCGGUGCUCAACGCCGUCGAGCCGUUGAAACUGGGGUU
Molecule: ribosomal RNA, 305 nt
Filed under: uncultured bacterium
Lineage: Bacteria
Description: bacterial SSU rRNA
Rfam family: Bacterial small subunit ribosomal RNA
Source: RNAcentral